This 1158-nucleotide long non-coding RNA is filed under the name Cyanistes caeruleus (blue tit). Its description in RNAcentral is "lncRNA (ENSCCEG00000006788.1)". Lineage: Eukaryota; Metazoa; Chordata; Aves; Passeriformes; Paridae. The record is from RNAcentral.
AGCUGACGAAGAGCUGACUCAAACACCUCCGGACGUGACUUUUUAGCUGUGCCAACAACGACAAAAUACUGAGGAAGGGUUUGCAUCCGCCCCCGCUCUCUCCACUGCCCUUCCUAGUCAAGGCAUGGGGGGCCUGAAACAACUCCAGAUUGAGGACAAGACGAAGGCUGAGCAGGGCUCAGCCUCUCACACAGACCUGACAGGCUCCUCUCAUCACCAAGAAAUUUUCUCUGCAUACUUCAUUGUGCUCUUACCAACAAAGUCCUCGCCUCCCAUCCAGAAGAGCCCUCUUUCUUCGGAGCUCAGGAAGAAGCUUCUGCAUCUCCUAAGAUUGAUUGAAGAAUAGGUUUAAUGGCUUAGGCUUUAGAGUUAGGGAUGUAGGAUAUAGUAUAGGGAUAGUAGUGUAGUAUAGGGAUAUAGUAUAGUAGGGAUGAAGUGUUCUUAUAUUAUAAUGUACAUUUGAGGAUACAUUUUGAUUGUAGUUUUUAAAUAGUGAUGACAUAUUUUAAUUCUUUAUAUAUAUUUUUGUAGAUACAGUGGGGUUUUUUAAUGUUAUGUAAGUUAAAUUUUUAAAAAAACAAGCAUAGAAUGUGAGACUAGGACCUGCUAGGUUAGAGGAGAUGUGCUGAGGUUAUCAGAGUACAGCUCACUUGAUGUCCCAGUGACUCACCACGUCCUUUCCUCGCUGGGCCUCUCACCUUUGAGACUGGCUCUGAGAGCAAUGGGGGGUAGAAGAAGCACGCAGCUUGUGUUGAAAGAAAACUCACCCCCCCUGCAUCCUGCUCCUGGAUUGUGCUCUCUGCAGCACGGAGAGACAGCGGGACAGAGCUUCUCUUUGGCUUUUAGUUAGUUUUAGUUAGCUGAGGCAGAGGAGUUCCCUGGACCUUUUUUUCUUUUUCUCCUGGAUCUGUGCAAAUCUGCUUUGGACUGAAAAACACCCAGACAAACCCCAGGAGCUCAAGCCCUUGGCCCACCGGGGCCUGGGCCUCAGCACUAUCCAUCACCAAAAGGACUGAGAAGAACCUGAGCAAUCCGAACUACACCACAUGGAAAAGGACUUUUCUUCCUAGAUUCGCCAUCCCAUCGAACAACGAGACGUUUUAUUGUUUAAUAUUAUUCAAUUUCUGUUAAAUAAACAGCUUUUUCCACUUCUCUCCA